CACAACCAAUCCUCUCCGUCCUCGAGCACCACGCCACUCUUCAUCCCUCUCCACGCUGUCCCACCUCCCCUACUCCUCCUCACGGCCUCUCGCACCGCUGCCUUCUCUUCCUGGGCCUCCCCGACGCUCGAGGUGCAGCAGAGGGGACGCCACUAUGUUCUCAAUCCAGCUAGAUCGGGAUCGGGCGCAGGUCGCCGGCAUCCGACGCCCCGCGCCGUGAUUUGGGAUCAGGCGCCGAUCUCCAUAAGGAGAUUAGGAGCAGCUGCUGCAGGGAGGGUAGGCAGCAGAGGAGCACGUCCAGGUCGAGCCCCCACCCCGGCGGGUGCCUGCAGAGGAGGAGAGGCCGAGGAUGGCUCCCAGUACAUGGAGGAGACGCCCAACACAGGUAGGGGAGGAGGCUGUCCCCGGAGAGGCAACAUGGUGGUUGCACCGGUGCCUCUCCCAUCUAUGCAUCUACCGAGGAUGGAUGGCACCAUGUGGGUCAGGAGGCCGUCAUCACCCUUGUAGGCAUGAUUCAUCGCCUCUGUCGCCCCCGCAUGGCACGACUCAUUGGUCACUGUUGGGCUACUGCCGUAGUCCUGCUACUUGAUGGAGUCUUCCUCCUUUGGCUACGUCUUCCUUCUCUGGCAACGCCUCUCUCGACCCCAGAGGUUCAUGGUUUUACAUUCAAAAAUAAAUAUGCACCUAAGAGAAGCUAGAGGAGUAUUGUUAAUAUCUGGAAUCUAAUUUAAUUGUGGUUCUAUACUGCUGUCAUAACUAAGGAUUGAUUGGUAUAGAAAAUAUAUGUGACCCUCUGUCCUCAGGUCCUUCACCAUCCACAAAUAAUCAGGUUCGACUACCUGCUUGGUCAGUUGUCUCUCUGUAGUAAACAAAUUUUGCAAUUGAACACGCUAAUUUUACAACUAAUAGUCCAUUAACUUUAAUCAUGUGCAUUUAGAAACUGCACAAUACCCCACCAUUGGUCGAGGUCCCUUAUAGGACAAUACUUGAUUUUUUUUCCUAAACAAUCUGGGGCUACCACAAGCUAAGUACCGUCACAGGAUAUGUGAGGGAAAAACAACAGCAAGGAGAGCAUUGUUUGCCACAAGACGCACCAACAACCACACCAUUGAGGUAAGCAACUGAGGACAUGAGAAGGGCCUUCACACCGAUCUCAGAAAAACAAACCUUUUGAAGCCAAUGAAGAAGCUACCAACCAUCUUUUGUUCCCAAACAAUCUUUUCUUCUCCCCACCUUAGCGUGUUCUAUGUUUCAUUGAUAUUCCUAUAACAAAACAGAGUUGGUAUCAGACAUGUAUUUCCUAUAUUUAUGAUGAUAUUCCUUAUGUAUAUAAAAUUAUAUUCUAUAUAGGUCCUCAAUCAAAUGUUAUAUAGGAGAAAUGCUAUAAAGACAGGCAUGUUUUCCCAAAUAACUACUGCUCUUAUGCAGGGUGUCCUAGCGCAUGUCGUCUCGGUGGAAUAGCAGGGGCGGCAGGGUCACCACAGCGGGGUGGACAACAAGAGAGGGUGAGGAGGUUGGCAGUGGGUGAGAAGGAGCAGCAAAGUCGGACGUGGCAGGAAGGAGCACUGAGGUCACAGUGGAGGAUAGGCCAACGAUGGGUGCAAGGAGCUACGUCAGCAAAGCUACUCCGCCGCGAUGGGGUGGAGCUACGAGGUGGGGGAGGCGUCCAAUGACAGAUAUCAAAAAGCAUGUCGUUGCAGCAGGGUAAGAUAAACAAGAAGUGCAUUGAAGGUAGAGAAAGAAUUUCUAAUGUUCUGGAGUACACCAGUUGAUGAGAGCUUUUUGAAACUGUUGUAAGUUUAUCAUUUGAAAUGAUUGAAUUCGUAUUGUUCUCUGUGAGAUUAUUGAUUCAUGUUACAUGACCAUGUUCUGAUUAGCUAUAUUUGAUGCUCUACCCUUUUGACUGAUGGUAGUUUGAAGGAUGAGGUUUGUGCUAAUGCUUUAGCAACUCAUAGUAUGUUGUAGUUAUUUGUUCAGGAAUAUCAGCAAGUUGAACGAUGAAUAGUUUUCUAAUGAAGAAAAAAUUCACGAUAUUGUUGCAUUACUUAUGAAUGCAAUUGAUUUUCAUAACCAGAGGAAGGCAAGUGCUACAUCGUCAAAUAUUGAUACUUCCUUUUCAUGCCAGAUCAGAGUCUUGAUGCCUUGUUGAACUAUAUGUAUACCAUUUUCUAAUAUCUGACAGUUAUAUUGGUUGCACUAGCUUUUGGCAUAUAAUUUGAAGGGUAUUCUUCCCAUAUGAUCAGUUCUGCGGUCUGCACUCAUUUUUACUGCCAUGAAUGGUGUAAGUCUCCCUCUCUCUCACACAUACAUACACUGUGUGUGCGUGUGUCAUUCCCUCUCAGAUUUGAAGGUAAGUUAUUAUUUCGUGUUAUCAAUCAUGGGGAUUUUAUGAUUUCUAUUUAUUUCCGUGGUGGAAAAUUAAAAUCUGACAAGGAGGUCGCUAUCCAUCUACUUCCAUAAUGUCGAACCUCCAACUGAUUUUUCUUUUCCAAUAGGAUAUGCAUUUGAUCCAGUCCAUGUCUUGGCCUCUUUUUGAUGUGUGUUUACCCAUGUUCUUCUUGCAGGUAUUGUUCAAUCCGCCAAUAGCUAGCGGAUGUCGUGUUGUGAUUAAGGUGCCCGCCAUCAAUGAAGACAAAGAAUACCAGGUAGCAAACGAACAGAAAUGGUCCCGACCUUUGAGGGCAAAAUAUAUUCUACAAAGAAUCUUUAUCAGCAAAGGGCAAAGAAGAUUGUCAAUGUCAGCCACCAGUUAUUUUGUUCAGUAGGUGUUCCCUUCCAAUGAGGCUCCAGCCUGAGCAAGGGCAUGGUAGCAGAUAUUGAUCAGUUGGUUGAUUUUGUGCGCCCAUCCUGUAAUUCAACGUAAAGCUUCAGAAAGUGUGUUCAAUGUCCUCUCCAUUUCAAACAAACCAUCAGCUGGUUCUUUAAUACGAUUAUUACUUUUAUCAUACUGUAGAAUUCGUUUCUCGGUUAUCUAAAACUUAUAGCUAUUAAAGAAAGCCCUUGGUUUGUAUUUGGUACUUGUGCCAUUUGGUGGAACUGUAUGAGAAAAUAGUGAGAGAAUGUUGGUAGAAAUUACGAGUGAUGUAAUUACAUA
This is a long non-coding RNA of Triticum dicoccoides, 3094 nucleotides long. RefSeq lists it as uncharacterized. The transcript is spliced from 4 exons. The record is from RefSeq and is a predicted model, not a curated record. Lineage: Eukaryota; Viridiplantae; Streptophyta; Magnoliopsida; Poales; Poaceae.